Molecule: small nucleolar RNA, 136 nt
Organism: Salvia hispanica
Lineage: Eukaryota; Viridiplantae; Streptophyta; Magnoliopsida; Lamiales; Lamiaceae
Product: small nucleolar RNA Z247
Source: RefSeq, a predicted model, not a curated record
AUUCUCGAUGAGGACCAGAUCCUCCACAUUCUCUCGGGUUUGGGACCCGAGUAUGACCCAGUCAUGGUCACCAUUUCCUCUAGUGCUGAUCGUUGGACGGUUCCUGAUGUUGCUGCUCUUCUACUCAGCUUCGAAA